Molecule: long non-coding RNA, 1262 nt
Filed under: Homo sapiens (human)
Lineage: Eukaryota; Metazoa; Chordata; Mammalia; Primates; Hominidae
Description: HSALNT0098571
Source: RNAcentral
GAGUUGCGCAACGCUCUGCCGAAGGCAGGAAAACAGGGCAGGAGCGGACGCCGGAUGUCCCUGCAACCCCGAGCCGACCCGCGCACCGUCGGAAGCGCCGCGUCCCGCUCCACCUUGGCCAGAGCGGACUGCGCCGCCUGGGAGGCGUCCUCAGAGUCCCGGCCCCGCGUUCAGCCCAGGCACUAGGGCCGGCGGCACGGACACUGAGCACAUGCGGGUGUCGGGGGCCAGCACACAGUGGAUGUGAAUGAACACACGAAGAAAGGAAGGAUUGACAAAGUGAAACAGCAAAUGAGCAAAGGAAGAGGCGGCAGCCUGGGGGUCCUGGCAGUCCUCCAGCAGAGAGGACCCCAGGCUCCCAUUCCUUGGGCUGGUGCAAGGCUCUGGUCUGUGUCCCCUGGGGAGCCUCCCAGCACAGGCAGCCCCUGCGUAGCAACUGGACCUGGACAAGGACCCAGCGCCCUCUGGUGGCCGAGACUCCUGAGGCUCCAGGCCAGGCCUCUAGCGUCCUGGUGGUUUCCAAGGACUUUCUUUCCCACAGUCCCCUUGGAAUAUCACAGAAAUCCCUAGGAAACAAAGCAGCUCAGAUUUGUAAUGAAGGAAAGGAUGCCAUGCUGGGUCCCCAGAGUCCUGGGUUCUGGUUCUAGCCAUGCCCCUGACUCUCUGGGUGACCUUCAGCGUGUCCUGGGAUUUGAGCUGCCAAGGGCUGGGCUUGGGCUUGCCACUGUAGGGAGUGGGGGUGCCUGCAGCAGCACCUCGACUGCCCGCCUCUUGGCCUCAGCUUGCUCUAAGACCUUACCCAUCAGGAAGUGCUUGCAUGAAUAAGUGAGCCAAAAUCUUCCUCCCUAUGGCUCUAGCAUCCCUCCAGGCUUUGCAUUCUGUGUCCACACACAUCCUGGAAGAACACCAGAGUCUCCAUUCCCCCAACCCCCUUUCACCCAUGGGAUCUGGAGAUGUCUUUUCCACAUCCAGAUGUCUCGUGUGCAGUGGGAUUCCUAAAUCUGGAGCUCAGGGGGAGGUGUGCACUGAAGACAGACCUUCGGGGUCAUUAGCACCUAGAGGGUCUGUGACACCUGGAGAAUGACUGGCUUGCUGAGGCCAGUGGUUCCCAGCCUAGGCUGCAUACUACAAUCAUCCGGAAAUCCAGUGAGCGUGGAUGCCCAGAACCCACCUACCAGACUGAUGAAAUCAGAGCCCCUGCGUGUGGGCCCAGGCAUGGGCAUUUGAUUUUUAAAAUUUUUUAUUUUCUUGGUAGAUCACUC